This 200-nucleotide non-coding RNA is filed under the name Bacillus sp. (in: firmicutes). Lineage: Bacteria; Bacillati; Bacillota; Bacilli; Caryophanales; Bacillaceae. The record is from RNAcentral. RNAcentral also lists the same sequence under 1 other name.
AAAUAAAGAUAUAGAAAAGGUGCAGACAGAGCUUGCUUUGUUUGCUUAAAAGGGAAGUCCGGUGCAAGGCCGGCGCGGUCCCGCCACUGUAUGUGAAGAGCGCUUCUACCCUAACAUGCCACUGUCCUCUUACUGGAUGGGAAGGCUGGGAAGCGUGAUGACGCACGAGCCAGGAGACCUGCCUUUUCUUAUUUUGUUUC